GACAGAGGGUGCAAGCGUUGUUCGGAUUUACUGGGCGUAAAGCGUGUGUAGGCGGCUUGGCAAGUUGGAUGUGAAAGCCCACGGCUCAACCGUGGAAGCGCAUCCAAAACUGCUUCGCUCGAGUCUCGGAGAGGAAGGUGGAAUGCUUGGUGUAGAGGUGAAAUUCGUAGAUAUCAAGCAGAACACCUGCGGCGAAGGCGGCCUUCUGGACGAUGACUGACGCUGAGACACGAAAGCGUGGGGAGCAAACAGG
RNAcentral lists this ribosomal RNA (253 nucleotides) under uncultured bacterium. RNAcentral describes it as "partial 16S ribosomal RNA". It matches the Rfam family "Bacterial small subunit ribosomal RNA", at positions 524 to 776 of the family's 1533-position model. The record is from RNAcentral.